AAUAUUGGACAAUGGGCGCAAGCCUGAUCCAGCCAUGCCGCGUGAGUGAUGAAGGCCUUAGGGUUGUCAAGCUCUUUCACCGGUGCAGAUAAUGACGGUAACCGGAGAAGAAGCCCCGGCUACCUUCGGGCCAGCAUCCGCGGUAAUACGAAGGGGGCUAGCGUUGUUCGGAAUUACAGGGCGUAAAGCGCACGUAGGCGGACAUUUAAGUCAGGGGUGAAAUCCCGGGGCUCAACCCCGGAACUGCCUUUGAUACUGGGUGUCUGGAGUCCGGAAGAGGUGAGUGGAAUUCCGAGUGUAGAGGUGAAAUUCGUAGAUAUUCGGAGGAACACCAGUGGCGAAGGCGGCUCACUGGUCCGGUACUGACGCUGAGGUGCGAAAGCGUGGGGAGCAAAC
Molecule: ribosomal RNA, 396 nt
Filed under: uncultured bacterium
Lineage: Bacteria
Description: partial 16S ribosomal RNA
Rfam family: Bacterial small subunit ribosomal RNA
Source: RNAcentral